RNAcentral lists this ribosomal RNA (228 nucleotides) under uncultured Lactobacillus sp. RNAcentral's name for it is "partial 16S ribosomal RNA". It matches the Rfam family "Bacterial small subunit ribosomal RNA", at positions 134 to 354 of the family's 1533-position model. The record is from RNAcentral. Lineage: Bacteria; Bacillati; Bacillota; Bacilli; Lactobacillales; Lactobacillaceae.
GAGAUCGGGAUAACACCUGGAAACAGAUGCUAAUACCGGAUAACAACAGAUGAUGCCUAUCAACUGUUUAAAAGAUGGUUCUGCUAUCACUCUUGGAUGGACCUGCGGUGCAUUAGCUAGUUGGUAGGGUAACGGCCUACCAAGGCGAUGAUGCAUAGCCGAGUUGAGAGACUGAUCGGCCACAUUGGGACUGAGACACGGCCCAAACUCCUACGGGAGGCAGCAGAG